UUUUUUUUUUUUUUUUCCUUUCUGAUCUCAGUUACAGUUUUAUUUUUCCUGAAACACAGGUCUACAGAGACAAGGGAAAAAAAGCGAGAGAGGGAACAGAAUUGGUUGGGGGUAAUUAACUAAGGAGAAGGCAGCUGAAGAAGUGGGUCUGAGGACUGUUUUCCUUUCUCCGUGACCAGCUUGAAAGCAUCUUAUUUCAGCUUGGAACGUCGUGGAUGAGGCCAGCUUGCUUCUAGUGGAUGUGUGGGAAAGGCAUAUUUAGAGUUCCCUCAGAGUUCCUUUCCACCUCGUGUAUGAAGUUGGCUUUUUAUUUUUAUCCUUUUCUCUCCUUCCUUUCACGAGUGCCAUAGUGGUUGAGUACAUCUUUUUUUCUGGUGACAGUACUAAGACUGUAGGCUCAGACCACCUUCAGCUGGCUAUUUAGUCACCUGUUUGCUGGCUGCAGAGAAGGAGACAGAAAUCCUCCCAUCUGCUCAGAUCCUUUCCCCCUUAUUACUUUAUGCGUGAACACCACGGCUUUGUCAAAUGUCCAGGGAGACUGUCUCUCCUCAAACUGGCUGUAACGCUAGAUCUCUGGCCACUUAGAAGGCCCGAGGUUUGUUUUUUUUUUUUUUUUUUUUUUUUUUUUUUCUCCUGCCAAGCUGUCGGUUCUCAGUGUGGUAAGGUUCCUUUUGUGGCCAAAUGCAGAGAAAUGAUGGGCUGAGUUAGGGAUGUGUGGUGUGUGUGUGUUUGCCUGUGGCUGCCGAAGUGGAGGAUGUGUUGGGAGGAGCACUCAGGACUUCCAUUUUUGCUUUCUUACUACGCAACGAUAAAAUAAAUGACGCUUAGUAGAUAACUUUGUGCUUAGAGAACUGGAGCUCAAUUGAAGAAACAAAACUCCACCAGGAGGAGUGCUCAGUAUCUUGAACUUAGGAAACGGACCUCGUUAAUUUUAAUGAGGGGAAAAAUUCUCCAGCUGGAGCUGAGAAGAAGAUGAAAUACCAAUGAGGUUAUCACUUUGGAUGAUCUCAAUGAAUUCAGAGUAGCAUCAGAAUGAUGCUUGGAGAAUUUUCUGAAGUUCUUUGGAGAGAUUUAGCAGAGAAUGCAUUUGCCUUCGAUGGUAUAUAAAGACCGCUUCCCUGGAGGGCAGAGCAGAACUUUAUAUGGUUCCUCUUAGAGGGGCUCUUAGAAAGCUUAGCACAUUAAGAAGUUGGGCUAAAAUAAAACUCAGAGAGAAAAUAAAUGAAUGUGAGUCUUAUGUGAGUCUAGCUUGGGAACAAUGGAGCUGGUAAUAUAGUGGCCGAGACAGUUGACUGGAAGCCAAGGGCUUCUGAGUUCAAGUGCACACUGGGACACUAACUUCCACUGGGAUUUGGGGCAUCUGUUUCUUUAUCACCCAAAGGCAGGAGGUGGGCUGAGGGCAUCCUGUUAUAUAGUAGGCAGCCAUUCAACGUGAACAAUAAGUCGAUGACUUUGGCCCUGUUGUUGAGGAGCUGACAGAUUGUGACCAAUGAGGUUGGGGUGACUGGAGGACAAUUUUGCCCUCAGUUGGGAGAGGCUUGCCAAAUUCCCCUGGCAUUGGUCCGGAACCACAGACAGAAACAUCACCGUUUAAGGUAUUUGGCCCUUUUACUUUAUCCUCGUCCACUACACGGCUGAUCCUAGGAAAAAGAGCACUCUUCCACCAAUGAAUUCUUCAGAGGUCUGGAGCAGACAGCCCAGGCUUUUUUCUCCAAAAGCUCCAGCCUGCUGACUCAAGCUCUUUUCUCAUCUCUCUGGCAUGUCGCUGCACUCAGGAUAAGAUUUGUGCGACCAUCAGGUACAAAUUCAUGUGUCACUUUUUGAUUAAAUGGGGCCAUCUUGCUCUAGGGGUCACCGGGCAUGUGGGGGGGACCCAUUCCUACUUCUAAGGUCCCUUGAAUUUCAGCCCUUUUCUUUGAAAGCUGUAAGGCAACAGUUCAGGGCACUUGUGCUGCUGCUAUGGCUGUGCCUAUAUUUGAUGGGGAAGGCUGGUUGCCAAGCAGCAGGGAAUGGACAUGAUCGUGUUGCCUAGCAACAGCGGCAGCGUGGUCACUUGCGCAGAUUUCUGCGCCUCUUCCUGUUUGGUCUGCUGGAAAAUACAGAUGGCUUCCGUGGGUCGCUCUCUACCCUGGCCACAGUGAGAUGUUGGAAAAACAGUGAACCGGGGUGGAUAAAUGCACAAGCAGGUGGUUUAAAAUGAUUACUUUCUAAACUGUCUAGGGCCGAGCUUUUUGUACGGUGUUCCUCCAUUUCCCCUUUGAAGAUAUUGUACGUACCCAGCGUGACCUGUAGAUUGAUUGCAGAGCCAGGAGAGGAGUCUUAGGAAAAAGUACCCCACUUCUUUGCGUGCUGCCUCUUCUGAGCCUGGUGGAGCCUUCGCACUGGGGAGCAUGUGUGAAUAUAAUAUAAAACAGUCAGUUUUCUGAUAAAUACACACACACACACACACACACACACAGGCCUGUGUGAAAAAGAUACAGGAGGAGCAGAGCGUGACCACCUAUUGUUCGUUGGGGUCUGAGGAACAAAGCAGUCGGGAGAGAUAAAGGCAGGCGAGCCCUGCGGGUCUGCCCUUUCUCCCUGCUCUGACCAGCACCUCGCAUGUGACACAGCUCAGUGAGGUCACUUGCUCAUUCCAGAUUCUAAAGAUGCUUCCUUGGCAGAGGCCUCCUAGGUCAGAGGCCUCUUGGCGGUGGUUGUAUGUUUGGAGCACCAGGAGUGUUUGGAGCUGAAUGCUUAAGGAAUGGAUUUUCUGGCAGUGAGAGAAAGAGAGUGAGCAUCUGACCCUUAGCCCUCAUAGGGUGAGGAGGUACCUCCCUACCCACUCCCAUUCCUGUCUAUGGAGUUGAAUUGUAGCCAAGUACCGGCUUGGUGUCAGCAGGCCCUGGUUCUGUCUUUAAUGUCACUGCCUACCUGCGGUGUGGCUCUGUGCGGCCCUUUGUCCCACCUGAACCUUUGCAUUCCUGUCUAGGAAGAUAAUAGCAAACGCAGCCUCACAGGGAGGGCUUGAAGGUUCAGAAAGGCCCUGGUUUGUUGGCACAUCUGGCCUAGAGCCAGUGUGUAGGGAUUCUUGCUGCCAACCUCCUCCUAGCAGUUUAAGAGCAGGAAGAGAGAAGGGAAGGCAAGCUCUGCACAGCACAGAUUUCGCCAUCUUGGUUUCUGUUCCCAGCCUUAGCCUUCCAGAUGAUGAGCCAGUAUUUCCAUCCAUUUAGGUUAGAAAAGACGAGAGACCCCUCUCCUUUUGGAGGCUUGACUUGGUCCCUUGGGAGCCUGGAGGGGGCUAAUUGAUUUUCAGUAGUUUCCUAGUUUUUACAAAAUCAGUAAGGAUGGGUUGUUUGCAUUUCACAGAGGAUGAGACAGGAAUGUAGAACAGUGGGCUAAUUUGUUGGGGAUUCUCGAGACCAUUGGUUCCAAGUUGGGAUCAAAAUCCUAGGGCCUGAUGGGGUAAAGGAAGCCCCUGGCAAAGCCAGAGGGAGUAGGUUAGUGUAGGACAUCUCUGUGGAGUCAGAACGUUCUAGGAACUGAGGAGACUUGGAUUUUAGGUUUCAAGUUGCCAGGUCAGUGAGUGUCUUCUGGACAGAUUGAAGCAUGGCUUUUGGCAGCCCAGCUGAGCUGCCAGGCCUGAGUCUGCUCUGUUGUACGUCCACUAGUCUGCAGAGGGGCAAAGGCAUUCUAAUGCAGAAGCUCCAGCUCUCAUUGAAGUCCUGCUAAAGGCCCUGGUUCUUCAGUUUCCUCAGAGUCAGGGAAACCUAGGGCUAGGAAUUACCAGCUUUGGCUACUUUAAAAGUGCUCUACUCAGUGGAUUGCUCCAUGAAGGACAGCAUGUCCUUCUUUUGCAUUGGUUACUUGUCUCUCUCUUUUUUUCUUUUUUGGUCUUUUUAGGGCCACACGCAUAGCAUAUGGAAGUUCCCAUGCUGUGGAUCACAUUCGAGCUUCAGCUGCUGGCCUGUGCCACAGCCAGAGCAAUGCCAGAUCCGAGCUGUGCCUGCUGCCUACACCACAGCUCACUGCAACCCUGGAUCCUUAACCCACUGAGUGAGGUCAGGGAUCCAUACUGUGUCCUCAUGGAUCCUAGUCAGGUUCAUCGCUAUGGAGCCAAGGUGGGAACUUCCUGGUUACUUUGUCUCUUAAAGCAAGUGUAGACACAGUUUUCUGGACCAACAACUGUUAACGGCUUCACUUCUCUUGUCAAAGAAGGGACUUGUUCUCUCAGAACCCUUUUGGCUCUGAAGGUUAGAACCUCUCCACAAUACCAACAUCCUCAGGCAUUUCUUGUUCUCUGUGCAGGAAGAGAGCAGCCCUCACAGAUUCUCCUCACAGCAGCCAUUGGUAGACUGUGAGCAGAACUCGGAAGGCAGUAUGGUUCUAGAAUUCCACACCGCCUGUUUUUGCCAUGGCGUCCAGAGCUGCCUCUGACUGUCACAUUCCAUGGCCCUGCGCCACCGAUGACUCAGGAUACUCAUCUAAGUGUUUUCCUUAGGGGCUGGGGCAGGGAGGAAGGGGAGAUUAAAGAGAGGAGAGACUUGUGUGCGGUCCAUUUCCCCACCUAUCUGACAUUAAAGGGGUCCAGCAGCUCCUGCCAUAGCACCUAGGAAGGUCAGGAGACACCCAGAUCUAAGCUAGAGUAAAGAAAUUUUUUUUUCUUUGCUUUUUAGGAUCACACCUGUGGCAUAUGGAAGUUCCCAGGCUAGGGGUGGAAUUGGAGCUACAGCUGCCAGCCUGAAGCCACAGUAACUUGGGAUCUGAGCCGUGUCUGCAAUCUAUAGCGCAGCUGAAUGGCAAUGCCAGAUCCUUAAUCCGCUGAGCAAGGCCAGGGAUGAACCUGCAUCCUCAUGGAUCCUAGCUGGGUUUGUUACCCCAGAGCCAUGAUGGGAACUCCCUAGAGGAAAGCAAUGAGGCCUUUUCCCCACCAGACGUGCCUCCCCAGCUGCCUUCUUACUUGGCUGUAUCUGUAAAUGAACCACCUUCUUUAUGCCUUGGUUUCAUGUGGUCUCUCUGUGAGACUCUUGGCAGAGGCCUUGGUUGCCACCAAAAGAGGCUAACAGUGCAGCCUCCGCCCCAGCCCAUCUCAGGGGUGUUUCCUUAGCUAAGUCCUGGGGAGGCAUGCAAUGAAAGAGAAACAGGUGUAGCCGACCUGAGGAACCACUUCAAGGCCACAUGUCUCCCCCCAGCAGCUCUCUCUUCCCGUGGAUUGGAAGAUGUUCAGCCUUUAGUCUCCGUCAGAGGACAGUGUGAGAAAGGGGAUUGUAUUAUCUGCUGAUUGUAUUAUCUGAUUGAAAUCCCCUCCCAGCUGUGUGAGCCUGUGGAUUUGCAUCCUUCCCGUGACAAGUAUCACUUAUUGUGUUUGGUUUUGCUUGUCACAGUGACUUUUGGUAUUCAGCUAACACCCUUCUUUUAAGGAAGUUAGAACACUUGAUACAUUUUAAGCCUCUGAUCCUCUCAAAUACUCCUGGAAAACUGAGGUCCAUUGAGAUGAAGUGCCUUGAUUAGUUAUAUAACAGGCUGGCUGCUUUUUGGUUACCCCUUUUCUUUCUCUCCCUCACUCUCACUUUCCCCUUCUCUCUCCCUUUCUUCCUCUCCCUCUCUCAUGUUGUUAGAAAAUUGUCUGCAUAUACAGGUUCGCAAUAUUCUACUUUUACAUCAGAAGUCCUAUCUCUAGUACUGUUUAUUUCCAUCAUGCCCCCUUUUCAGGAGAACUCUAGCUCUGUUGCCACAUUUGCAUUACCGGCCCCCUGCGUGUGCAUGAGAGGUUAGCAGUAACGCCACUUCAGAACCGAGGUUGCUGAGUGCAGGCUCAUUCUAUCUUGUAGAGACCAAGUCUCAGCAAGUGGAAGUGUCUUGCCAAGGGGGUGGAACUAUUAAUAAGAAAGGAAACUAAAAAUAGACCUUAGACAUUUCACUUGGCUCUCCUCGACAUCACUCCUCGCCUGGUCUUGGUUAGGACAGGCAUGACAUCGCUCCGUUUUCAUCCAGAGAACCACCACCCAAGUGUGUCUCAGUGGUUCAUUAGGGUAUGCAGUCUUUUAGAGGUGAUGUUGAAACUUGUAAACGUGGGGUAGUUCCUAAGGUCCUAAGGCCUAAGGAUGGGCACUGUAGCCUGGUCCUGGGAUGUCCUGGUAGAUAGGAAGUGUUCAGUGGACAUUUACCAAUUUGAUAAGGUUUUUAUUUUUAUUUUUUUGCUUUUCAGGGCCACUCCCGCAGCAUAUAGAGGUUUUCAGGCUAAGGGUCAAGUCAGAGCUAUAGCUGCUGGCCUACACCACAGCCACAGCAACUCGGGAUCCAAGCCGCGUCUGAGACCUACACCACAGCUCACGGCAAUGCCAUAUCCUUAACCCACUGAAUGGGGCCAAGGAUCGGACCCUCGUGCUCAUGGAUACUAGUGGGGUUCAUUUCCACUGAGCCACCAUGGGAACUCCCAAUCAGGUUUUGUUUUUUUUUGUUUGUUUUUUGUUUUUGUCUUUUUUGCUAUUUCUUGGGCCGCACCCUCGGCAUAUGGAGGUUCCCAGGCUAGGGGUCCAAUCGGAGCUGUAGCCACCAGCCUACGCCAGAGCCACAGCAACGCGGGAUCCGAGCCGCGUCUGCAACCUACACCACAGCUCACGGCAACGCCGGAUCGUUAACCCACUGAGCAAGGGCAGGGACCGAACCCGCAACCUCAUGGUUCCUAGUCGGAUUCAUUAACCACUGCGCCAUGACGGGAACUCCAGGUAUUUUUUUUUUUUUAAUUCUGGCCAGCACAGUUCCUUUACUGUCAGCAAGGGCACGGUGAACUGGCGCUACUUGCCUCAGAGAACAAUAGACAUCAUGAGGAAAUAAUAUAACAAAAACCAUCUGCCCUCAAGGAGCCCACAGUCUGGUUGUGGAGAAAGGACACAAAAAAGAAGUCUGUCCUUUGCUUUGACUGGCGUCACUGUGACUAUUCUAAGGCAACAGGCCACCUCUUAUUCUUUUACCCAGCCCAGCUGUUUCAGAUGGAAGGAUAGAGAGGCGGGCUUAUGCUGUGAUGGAGGUGAUGUUUUAUUUUAAGAUAAAGUAUGGAAGCAACUGAUUGAUGGAUUAUAAACUGGGAGGUCCAGGCUAAAGCUUCAUUCUGGGGGCAUCAGUAUAUUUCACUGGGAGCCUCCUGGGCAUUAAUUCCGCCGUUAAUUUUGUUAUUAGAGACCUAGCCAAACAAAGGGAGGUGGCGAAGCUCGAGGCUGGUUUAACCUUGAUGAAACAGUGAUUUCACCAAGGGUGAUGUUCCCCCAUCUAUCUUCAUCCAUCAAGGCACUGCUGAAAUAUGCUAAUGAAGCCCAGAGAUAGGAGCCCAGCGCAGUUAAAUGGGGCGUUGCAGACACUCUCUGUACCCCCGUGACAGGGCGAUGCCACUUACUGUCCAGAUUUAGUAUAGGAAGGAGAGCAGUGCUGACGUGGAAUUGUGGUCAAAGGCACACUGUUGGUGGAGAGUCCACCUUGCAGACACGAAGGGCAAGAUUCAGAGGCACACAUUCCAGAAUGGGACAGAAGAGCUUGGGGUUUGGGGAAAGGGGUUGUUUUCCUUUAUUUUCUUGGCCGCAUCUUUCAGCUAAUCCAUUUAAGAAGCAAAUACGUGGCACACUGCAGAUGGGGAAGCGUUUUGGUUUGUAAGCAUUUUUGUUUGUAAGUUCCAGAAUGUGACCUCCCACUUUGUGCCAGAUCAACUUAUCUGUCACCCUGUCAGUUUGUAUCACUCUUUCUUUCCAGUGGUUAAAUGAGCUAAUAUUUUUUUUAAAGUUAUGAUUUAUUAAGUAGCUAUUACAUGCAUACAUUAUUGGGCAUGCUACCAAGUAAUUCUGUAUACCUUAGUUUAAUGAAAUGCUUACAAUCACCCUUGAAGAAGUGAAGUUAUAGCAUAUGUUUAUAUAGAUGAGAUUUGAGAGGUUAAAUUCAUAUCCAAAAUCACAUAGUCGGUAAGUGGCCUGGUUGGGGUUCAAACACAUGUCCAUCCAACUCCAAAGCCCUUGCAUGAGGCCUCCAUGAUCUUACGGCUCUUAGUCAGGGCAUGUAUGGGAAUCCCUACUAACCGCUGGGGGUAGUUUGGCUCACUUACAUAUUUAUGUGUUCUUGGAAUUCGCUGUGACUUUAAUUUUUAGUAUUCUCUCUUUUUUUAAGGGCUGCACCCAUGGCUUAUGGAGGUUCCCAGGCUAGGGAUUAAAUUGGAGCUGUAGCCCCUGGCCUACGCCACAGCCGUAGCAACGCCAGAUCUGAGCUGUGCCUGUGAUCUACACCAAGCUCAUGGCAAUGCCAGAUCCUUAACCCACCGAAUGAGGCCAGGAUUGAACCUGUGUCCUAGUCAGAUUCGUUUCUGCUGAGCCCCAAUGUGUGAACUCCUUUAUUUAUUUGUUUAUUUUAUUUAAUUUAAUUUUAUUUUUUAGUAUUCCCCUAACAGUUUUUUCCUUCCUAAAUAGACCAUAAUCUCUCGGAGGCCAGGGCUGAGGUCCUCACUCUAGUGGCCCCCAACAUCAAACAUUUUGAUUAAUAACUCACCUGUCCACUGGUGAUAUCCAUAGCUUCAUGUGACAGGCUUGGUGUGGCACUGUCCUUCUAGUCAAUGGUAAAAUAAAGUUGGCCAGCUGCUUUCUAGUUUUUAUACGUUGGGUGAAAGCCAUGGAAGGUUGUAUUUGUCUUUACAAAUUCAUGCUACAGUUAAAUGUCUUCGUGGAUCCACGUCUGUUUCCUACUCAUUCAUUGGCUUUGUCCUGUCUAGUUCAUAUCAGACCACACAGAGAAAAAAGUAAAUAGCAAAUGAAAUUUCAUCAUCACUCAUUAAACAGCAUCUUCAGGCCAGUCUCUUCUAGGAGCUGGGUACAGAAUUGUGCUGAUCUUAGAUGGUUAAGGUAGCCACCCCAUCUUCCUUCCCAAGUAGCAGUUCCUGAACUGCCAGGUGGUCUUAGAAAUCAGGUGAAAGAAUUCCCAAAUAUAAAAUGAAUAUCAGCCACCCCCUCAUCUCUCAUCUUUUUCUUAUGCAGAUGGAGGAAGGAAGAAGCAAAAAAAAAA
This 9015-nucleotide long non-coding RNA is filed under the name Sus scrofa (pig). RNAcentral's name for it is "lncRNA (ENSSSCG00055017825.1)". The record is from RNAcentral. Lineage: Eukaryota; Metazoa; Chordata; Mammalia; Artiodactyla; Suidae.